AUUGAACGCUGGCGGCAUGCUUUACACAUGCGAGUCGAACGGCAGCGCGGGCUUCGGCCUGGCGGCGAGUGGCGAACGGGUGAGUAAUGCAUCGGAACGUGCCCAGUAGUGGGGGAUAGCCCGGCGAAAGCCGGAUUAAUACCGCAUACGACCUGAGGGUGAAAGCGGGGGACCGAAAGGCCUCGCGCUAUUGGAGCGGCCGAUGUCGGAUUAGCUAGUUGGUGGGGUAAAGGCUUACCAAGGCGACGAUCCGUAGCUGGUCUGAGAGGACGACCAGCCACACUGGGACUGAGACACGGCCCAGACUCCUACGGGAGGCAGCAGUGGGGAAUUUUGGACAAUGGGCGCAACCCUGAUCCAGCCAUGCCGCGUGCGGGAAGAAGGCCUUCGGGUUGUAAACCGCUUUUGUUCGGGAAGAAAUGCUCUGGGCUAAUACCCCGGGGGGAUGACGGUACCGGAAGAAUAAGCACCGGCUAACUACGUG
Molecule: ribosomal RNA, 484 nt
Filed under: uncultured bacterium
Lineage: Bacteria
Description: partial 16S ribosomal RNA
Rfam family: Bacterial small subunit ribosomal RNA
Source: RNAcentral